Molecule: long non-coding RNA, 1116 nt
Organism: Oncorhynchus tshawytscha (Chinook salmon)
Lineage: Eukaryota; Metazoa; Chordata; Actinopteri; Salmoniformes; Salmonidae
Exons: 3
Source: RefSeq, a predicted model, not a curated record
UAUUCCUCAGUCCGACAUACUCCCUGCAUAUUCCUCAGUCCGACAUACUCCCUGCAUAUUCCUCAGUCCGACAUACUCCCUGCAUAUUCCUCAGUCCGACAUACUCCCUGCAUAUUCCUCAGUCCGACAUACUCCCUGCAUAUUCCUCAGUCCGACAAGUCCUCGUGAUUAUCCAGUUACUGUGAGUGGCAUUGGGGUUACCGUUAAACAUGCAUGUGAGGUUUGUGUGUGUGUGUGCACGUUUGUGCCUGCGUGUGUAUGUAGCAGUGUGUGUAUGUGCCUCUGUGAUUUGUGCGUGUGCACGUUUGUGCCUGCCUGUGUAUGUAGCAGUGUGUGUAUGUGCCUCUGUGAUUUGUGCGUGUGCACGUGUGUUUGGUAUAAAAACAGAGGCAGUAUCAUUUGAAGACGUGUGACAACGAGACAGGGACCACGUCUUCCUCCCAGUCCCUAUAGCUGCUGCUGGUCUCCGGGUCCUGGGCCUCCGACCUCUUCGGAGGAACCAUGACCUUCAACCCCAUAGGGACCAACACAGAUUGAACCUACAGGGAAGGGAAGAGGACAAACUGAUCUUCAGAAACGAGAUUAUGUUCUUUUGACGACUCCAGUGCUGUGAUCAACAGGAGGCACUGGGUGAAGCUUUAGUUCUGCGGUGUCUAACCCCCACAGAAGGGCAACGUGAACCUGGAAUUCCUGUCCCACAAGAUUCCAAGAGAAAUGCUUUAGGAAGGUCACCUACCAGUUUGAAAUCUUCCACAACAGUUAUUUCAUCAGGAUGGUGGAUCCAGCCAGUUACCCAGUGGAGGUGGAUCUGAAGGAGAUGGUCGACACGGAGAUCACGUCCACAACCUCUGUCCACAACACUGAGAUGUUUGUGGAGUCCUGCAAGACCACGCUCUCAGACAACCCGAAUGAUCCUGACCACUACAGCAUCAUCCAAAAUGGGUCAGGGACAAAAAACCCAAAAGAAAACAUUGGUUCCUUGUUGUAUACGUUCAUUAUAUACUUUACUGCAGCGCUCCUACCGGUUAAAACACUAUAUACAGGGGCCUCCCGGGUGGCGCAGUGGUUAAGGGCUGUGCCACCAGAGACUCUGGGUUCGCUCCCAGGCUCUGUCGU